Molecule: long non-coding RNA, 2463 nt
Organism: Alligator mississippiensis (American alligator)
Lineage: Eukaryota; Metazoa; Chordata; Crocodylia; Alligatoridae
Exons: 3
Source: RefSeq, a predicted model, not a curated record
AUAAGCCUUUGAGCUGAGCCAGCCAGGGGAGAGGGUGGCUAACCCAGGUUGUGGUUGAGAGUGUACUCCUGAAGACUCCAAGAAACUGUGAAGCAGCCCUGCCAGUGAGAGUACCUGGCUGAGUGAUCCAGGGAUGUGGAGCCAGGGGGGCUACGUCUGCUGCCUCCUCCAUGUAACCCUGUGAGAAAAGAAGACCCUGUCACAGACACUGCCACACUUUGCAACAGACUGGGAGAGAAAUGCAUAAAUACUGCAGUCUCAAAUAGGAAUAGGCUGUGCAGCAUGGACAGCACUGCCCUAGUGUAGAGGGGCAAGGCCAGAAUACAGGAAACCCAUAUAAGGUGCCCAAGAUGAGCCACCAGGAAGUGUUGAACACUCAAAACUGGAACUGAAGUUGAGGUGUGAAAUCUUGGCCCCACUGAAGUCAAUGAAUCUUUUUUCACUGAUGUCAAUGGAUGUGUCGAAACCACAUUAAUGCUGUUCCCAAGGAGAGCCGCUUUUCAGCAGUGCCCCACCUAACCACUAUCAUGGCUGCUUUUAAGAUUUGCUUUGAAGCGCUUGAUAUCAGCCUUGGAGGUCACCCAUGGAGCACCUUUUGCUAUCACACUUUUGGGUCUGAUGUAUGUGAGCAGGAGGGGUGGGCAGGGCAUCCCCAAGACUGCAGAAAUACCUCAUGGAACAAGAAGUUUAAUUGGUAAACACUGCUGAUGACUUAUAAUUGCUCCAUAUCUUUGGCAAGGAAGCAGUGCAUUCUGGGGGAAUAAGUACAUGAUUGGAAGAUCUUAAAUUCUAACCUUGUCCCUGCAUUGAUUCCAGGUGUGGGCUAGGUGAGUCUCUACCUCUGAUGCUAUAUCUGUAAAAUGAGGUGAAUAAUAUUUUUUUUUCAAGGGAGAUGAGGAGAUAUAUUCAUUAAUAGUUAUUUGUGGUGCACUACGAGGCCACACUGAAGGCAUAUCUACACACCAACUUACUGUGCCAUGCAGCAGUUUGCUCAAACAUGCCCUGCUGCUCCAUAUGCUUUGGAUUCCCAAAUUCAAAGCAGUGUUAAAACACUGGCAAAGAGAGGUAGUUAGCUAUGCUAGUCUUAUGUCUAGCAGAAGGCAGGGUAGAGAUUCACCUUCUUAGAUUAAUGGAAUCAGAGAUGUGUAAGCUUUUGUAAGCAAGAGUUCACUUUAUCAGAUGCUAUGAAGGGACAUGCACAGAGCUCUUUACCCUACCUUCAACCCUAGUAGAGUCAUAAAGCUGGGUUCUGCCUCUCAGCAGUGCUAACAAGUAUCUAGAGAACAGUCAAUGAUGGCUACUACAUUACUUAUGGUUCAGAAGGUAACACUGGCAAAGAAGUCCUGUAUGCCUGAACAUGGUAAGUCUGCUAUCUAGAUUUGCCCUAAUUUCCUAGAAAAAAUCCUAAGGGAAUGAAUAACUCUAUAUUCAUUUGUUGCUUUUAAUAUUUUGUAGCAAAAAGGUAAUGGGUCACUGAUUAAACAAUAAGGUAAAAUUUUGGACAGUUGAGGCACUUUGUGAGCAUCUUCUAUACUGAGCAUUGAUGAGAUGGGAAAAAAGGACAAAAGCAUAAUGCAUGUGCAUGUGAGGCCAACAUGAAGAUUGCACAGGCAAUCUAAAUUAUGGUCUGUCUUUUAAGAACUUGAUUUUGCAACCUAAGUAAUGCUCAUUUAACUCAAUGAUAUUUUAAAAAUAUUUUUCUGGCCAUGUCUCUAUCUAAAAAGGGAGUGGGUAUUCCCACUUGAGCUGGAUAGAUUAUGGAAAACAAAAAGACAGCAAAUAUGUACAACUGUGACAGGUGGAUCUCAAAACCUGUGAGAGUUUAGGCCACAAAUCUUACUCCUAUCAGUUCAAACUCAGACAUCAAAUUGCCAAGGCCUACGUGCUGCUAAAAUGAUGCAAAAACUUACAUUUCCUGCUUGAUAAUAAAACAGAAAAUCUGCAUUUACUCAAUUGUAAAAUGAGAUUUUUCUCCCAUUUAGCAUGGCAAUGGGGAAGCUCCUUGCCUUAGAAUCAUGUAUGAAGGUGGCGUGGGAGCAGGCAGCUGCUGUGGCUCAGGCUCCAGACUCUACCUGGGGUUGUGGCUAUAGAUGCAGCUGUAGCUACUUCCUGCCCCUCCCCACCCUAUUGUCCCUGCACCUGCCAUCUUUCCCCUGCAGCCUCUUCUCCUCCAUCUCUCCCCUCACAAAGCCUCUGUUCCCCCACAUGCCCCUCUCUCUCCUGCCCUUACUUUUGCUCAUGCCAGUAGGCUGUAUGCAUGCUGCAGCCUGGGACACUAUGUGCAGCCCCAGCUCAGGCUGCAGCAGCAGCACGCAGCCCAUACAACUGCUACCGGGGGUGAGCUGGGGCCAAGCUACAUGUCUCAGGUUAGUACAGGGAUGGAGCCUGCCAGCAUGAAGUAAAGAGGAGGGGAGAGAGGAAGGAGCAGAGGCUGGAGAGAGCAGAGGUGUGGGGGAAGGGCAG